Trachemys scripta elegans is the source of this 515-nucleotide long non-coding RNA. RefSeq lists it as uncharacterized. The record is from RefSeq and is a predicted model, not a curated record. NCBI's taxonomy places the organism in Eukaryota, Metazoa, Chordata, Testudines, Emydidae. The transcript is spliced from 2 exons.
GAAUUACAAGUGGUAGAAACUUCACAAACAGUGGUCUCAGCAACAAUCUCUUUUCAUAUUACAGAAUGCUGGGCACAAACUGACCCAAGGACAUUUGGAUACAUCGCACCUUCAGUUAAUUCCAGAUUCUGAGAAAACUGUCCCAAGACCCUGUAGCUACAGCCAUGCCAUCAUCAGUAACACCUAAACAGCUGACACGGUUGUCAUGGCCGGCAAGGACACCUGGAAGAGAAGAUGGAGGAGGUUAACAGCUGAAGCUUUUCAAGUUUUGUACAUUACUUUUCAGGUUAAAUUCACCUCAAGACACCCUGGAAGAGGUUUUUGUUUGUUUUUAAGAGUGGUUAAGUGACAGAAGAAGUAUCCUCCUCUAUGUUUUAUCUUAAAAGCAAUAUUAGCUCCUCAACAUUAUGAGUUAGCUCCUAUCUUGGGAAGUCCUGAACCCUUGAACCAAAUAUUUUAACUAUUUUGCAUUUGGAUUUUCCCAGUAUAUGAUAUAAUAAAGUAAAUAAAUAAAU